Molecule: ribosomal RNA, 147 nt
Organism: Onchocerca volvulus
Lineage: Eukaryota; Metazoa; Nematoda; Chromadorea; Rhabditida; Onchocercidae
Rfam family: 5.8S ribosomal RNA
About the family: 5.8S ribosomal RNA (5.8S rRNA) is a component of the large subunit of the eukaryotic ribosome. It is transcribed by RNA polymerase I as part of the 45S precursor that also contains 18S and 28S rRNA.
Source: Rfam
AAAUCUUAGCAGUGGAUCACUUCGUUCAUGGAUCGAUGAAGAACGCAGCUAGCUGCGAAUAAAUUCGCAAAACCUGAUGUGACCUUUAAUAACUUUUCAUUCAAAAUCUAUGAUCUUUGAUAGUGAUAGCUAUUAAAGAAAGAGAUA